AAAAUAAUAGUUUAAAAAAAAUUUUUAAUUUGCAUUUAAAAGAUAUUAAUAAUUUAUUUUA
This 61-nucleotide transfer RNA is filed under the name Therophilus festivus. RNAcentral describes it as "tRNA-Ala". Lineage: Eukaryota; Metazoa; Arthropoda; Insecta; Hymenoptera; Braconidae. The record is from RNAcentral.